CCUACGGGUGGCAGCAGUGGGGAAUAUUGGGCAAUGGGCGCAAGCCUGACCCAGCAACGCCGCGUGAAGGAAGAAGGCUUUCGGGUUGUAAACUUCCUUUAAGAGGGAAGAGAAGACGACGGUACCUCUUGAAUAAGCAACGGCUAACUACGUGCCAGCAGCCGCCGGAGUACGUAGGUGGCAAGCGUUGACCGGAUUUUCGGGGUGUAAAGGGCGUGCAGCCGGGCUGACAAGUCAGGUGUGAAAUCCCGGGGGUCAACCGCGGGACUGCAUUUGAAACUGUCAGUCUGGAGUACCGGAGAGGUCAGCGGAAUUCCUGGUGUAGCGGUGAAAUGCGUAGAUAUAAGGAAGAACACCAGUGGCGAAGGCGGAUGACUGGACGGCAACUGACGGUGAGGCGCGAAAGCGUGGGGAGCGAACAGGAUUAGAUACCCUGGUAGUC
RNAcentral lists this ribosomal RNA (442 nucleotides) under uncultured bacterium. Its description in RNAcentral is "partial 16S ribosomal RNA". It matches the Rfam family "Bacterial small subunit ribosomal RNA", at positions 338 to 795 of the family's 1533-position model. The record is from RNAcentral.